AAAAUGUACGUUUCAUAGUCAUACUUUUAAAAUAAGAGGAGAAUAAGCAUGAGCAUGUCAAAUACAUGGCGGGCCAAAACAAAGAGAGCACGGGCCAAACUUGGCCCGCGGGCCCCAAAUUGGGCGGCCUUGACAGACAUACAAAAAGGCACAAAC
Sander lucioperca (pikeperch) is the source of this 156-nucleotide long non-coding RNA. RefSeq lists it as uncharacterized. The record is from RefSeq and is a predicted model, not a curated record. The transcript has 4 exons. NCBI's taxonomy places the organism in Eukaryota, Metazoa, Chordata, Actinopteri, Perciformes, Percidae.